CAGACAUUCUGAAACACAUACGACCAUGGGUUUCCGCUAAGAAAUAGAUCUGUAACAACCAGCACUGAGUAUACAGGCUUCCACAUAUCCCCAGCACUGUGCUGUGUACUCACAGGCACCAGUUCAUGUAAUCCCAGCAACUCAACUUAUUUCAUGUUAUAGCUGAAGCCCAGGGAGGUUAAGUAGCCUUGCCAAAGUCACACAGUUAACUCAGGGGUGGUGCCAGAUUUGAACUCCGGCAGUUUGGCUCCCUGUUACUAACCCUAGGCUGUACAGAUGAGGAAACUGAGGCCCAGAAAGCAGAAACUUGCUCAAGAUCCUCUGAUGGGUAACGGUUGGAGCUGGGCCGGAGUCCUUGAGCCCCAAGCCUUACCUGCUCCUGUCUGUUGGGGACCAGUUGGGGGUGGUGAGGCCACCAGCAGCAGCCCAGGAACUCACAGCCUCCUCAGGCUGAGUUUGUCCAGCCCAUCCGGGAGGAGCUUAAAAUAGAAGAAGUUCCCAUGGAAAAGUUUUAAGACUUCACUGGAUUGAAACCAGAUGACCCUGUGCAAACAGACCCCACCAGCAGGCACAGGGUCUGGGCGUGAGCUGUGCUCCCUACGGCUGUUCCCAGCCUGCCCUGGGGAGGGAAACUGCCCUGGGGGUGCAGACAGGCCAGCAGGGAAGAGAGCCCAGGGACAGGGGACACCAGAGCGGCAGGCCUUUGCUGUUGGGAAGGGGUGGGAGACGUCUUCCCCAAGGCAGAGAAGUGUCCCCAACACUUUCACUGGCUCCAUCUGUUUCCCAGCUUCUGAAGAUGGACAGAGAACUUGGAGACAGCAUUCACCCAUUCUCCCACCCUGCCAAUCGUCUCCCUGUUCCCCCACUUAUUCUUGCCUUUACUUGCACGCCACAGUCAUACGGCAAACACAGCACCUCCUUGACACGGAGGGCUAUGUGUGAACCACUAGGGACACAAGAAUGCAGCAGACACUGUCCUGCCCUUUGGAAACUCCCAGACACACUGAGCAGUCGUCACAGCAGGAUGGUGGGGGGUAGGGGUAGGCUGGGGACACCUGAAUAACCCUGGCCGGUCAGCGGGAGCUGCACAGACGAGGUUUGGAGCAGGACCCAGAAGGGAGGGAGAAGAAGGGGUGUUCUGGGCCAGC
RNAcentral lists this long non-coding RNA (1148 nucleotides) under Homo sapiens (human). Its description in RNAcentral is "HSALNT0029266". Lineage: Eukaryota; Metazoa; Chordata; Mammalia; Primates; Hominidae. The record is from RNAcentral.